RNAcentral lists this ribosomal RNA (1396 nucleotides) under Mycobacterium sp. 852013-50091_SCH5140682. Its description in RNAcentral is "bacterial LSU rRNA". It matches the Rfam family "Bacterial large subunit ribosomal RNA", at positions 1554 to 2925 of the family's 2925-position model. The record is from RNAcentral. Lineage: Bacteria; Bacillati; Actinomycetota; Actinomycetes; Mycobacteriales; Mycobacteriaceae.
GUCUGAGAGGUGAUGCAUAGCCGAGUGAGGCGAAUUCGGUGAUCCUAUGCUGCCAAGAAAAGCCUCUAGCGAGGACAUACACGGCCCGUACCCCAAACCAACACAGGUGGUCAGGUAGAGAAUACUAAGGCGUACGAGUGAACUAUGGUUAAGGAACUCGGCAAAAUGCCCCCGUAACUUCGGGAGAAGGGGGACCCCCAUAUCGUGAACCGGCUUGCCCGGGGUAGCGGGAGGGGGUGGCACAAACCAGUGAGAAGCGACUGUUUACUAAAAACACAGGUCCGUGCGAAGUCGCAAGACGAUGUAUACGGACUGACGCCUGCCCGGUGCUGGAAGGUUAAGAGGACCCGUUAACUCGUAAGGGUGAAGCGGAGAAUUUAAGCCCCAGUAAACGGCGGUGGUAACUAUAACCAUCCUAAGGUAGCGAAAUUCCUUGUCGGGUAAGUUCCGACCUGCACGAAUGGCGUAACGACUUCUCAACUGUCUCAACCAUAGACUCGGCGAAAUUGCACUACGAGUAAAGAUGCUCGUUACGCGCGGCAGGACGAAAAGACCCCGGGACCUUCACUACAACUUGGUAUUGGUGCUCGAUACGGUUUGUGUAGGAUAGGUGGGAGACUGUGAAGCGCACACGCCAGUGUGUGUGGAGUCGUUGUUGAAAUACCACUCUGAUCGUAUUGGGCCUCUAACCUCGGACCGUAUAUCCGGUUCAGGGACAGUGCCUGGUGGGUAGUUUAACUGGGGCGGUUGCCUCCUAAAAUGUAACGGAGGCGCCCAAAGGUUCCCUCAACCUGGACGGCAAUCAGGUGUUGAGUGUAAGUGCACAAGGGAGCUUGACUGCGAGACAUACAUGUCGAGCAGGGACGAAAGUCGGGACUAGUGAUCCGGCACCUCUGAGUGGAAGGGGUGUCGCUCAACGGAUAAAAGGUACCCCGGGGAUAACAGGCUGAUCUUCCCCAAGAGUCCAUAUCGACGGGAUGGUUUGGCACCUCGAUGUCGGCUCGUCGCAUCCUGGGGCUGGAGCAGGUCCCAAGGGUUGGGCUGUUCGCCCAUUAAAGCGGCACGCGAGCUGGGUUUAGAACGUCGUGAGACAGUUCGGUCUCUAUCCGCCGCGCGCGUCAGAAGCUUGAGGAAAUCUGUCCCUAGUACGAGAGGACCGGGACGGACGAACCUCUGGUCUACCAGUUGUCCCACCAGGGGCAUGGCUGGAUAGCCACGUUCGGACAGGAUAACCGCUGAAAGCAUCUAAGCGGGAAACCCCCUCCAAGACCAGGCUUCUCACCCAUUAAGUGGGAUAAGGCCCCCCGCAGACCACGGGAUCGAUAGACCAGACCUAGACACCUAGCAAUAGGCGCAGGGAACUGGCACUAACCGGCCGAAAACUUACAACAACCCA